AUUUCCAAUCCCAGUGCCUACCACCACAAUCUUCACAUCAGCUCGAACCAUCUUCAGGUUUCACUACCAUGUGGAAACGAUGCCAAGGAGAUGCUAAACCCUCUUCCAACUCGGUCACCGUCGGCUACCUUUUCGGUCUCCACCUACAGAACGGAAGAUGUAGAAACCCUGGAAGGUCAGGCAAAAGAGAAAUGGAUGAGGAACAGGUUGGUCUUGGGGAAAGUGGGUUGAUAUAUCGGGUCAGACGGAAAUAAACAACGGGUCAUAUUGGGUGGCUACUUUUGGUUGGUUGUUGCUACUGUUGACAAGAACGGCAAAACUCGGCAGCGUCGCUGGUACCUUCUCCUUCGAAUUGGAAAGCAGCAAUCAGAGUGCAAACAUGGUCUUUAAGCUUCAACACCCACCCAGUAUCGUCCUGUUUCCUCUUGGUUUUUAAUUUUGUGAUUUAAAAAAUAAGUAGCAUGAUUAAUGAAAUUACACUUAAAAAGAAAAGAGGCGGGCCUAAUCCACCCGUAUCAGGGACACGUAUCCUGAUCGAGUACCUGUGAUUGUCGAGAGAGCUGAAAGAAGCGAUCUUGCUGACAUCGACAAAAACAAGUAACUUUCCCUUCCUCUGUCUUAUGUAUCAACUAUGUUGAUAGUUUAGAUAUGCGUUUUCAAAGUGAUUAUGUGUAUUGUCUAUGAUGCUUUAUCAACCAACACAAGAUGUGUAUGUCACGGAUUUAAAAAAACAUUUGAGGCGUGCGCCUCAAGGCGCGCCUCGAGGCGAAACGGCCAAAAAACGAGUUGAGGCGCGCCUCAUGGUGUUCUUAAUGUAUAUGCGCCUCAGGUGCGCCUCAUGGGAUUUUGAUAGCUGUUUUUUAUGUUUUUGACUUUUGUGUCAAUU
Molecule: long non-coding RNA, 886 nt
Organism: Helianthus annuus (common sunflower)
Lineage: Eukaryota; Viridiplantae; Streptophyta; Magnoliopsida; Asterales; Asteraceae
Exons: 3
Source: RefSeq, a predicted model, not a curated record